AUCUCAUUACGAUGGGUGGUUGUGA
RNAcentral lists this non-coding RNA (25 nucleotides) under Mus musculus (house mouse). Lineage: Eukaryota; Metazoa; Chordata; Mammalia; Rodentia; Muridae. The record is from RNAcentral.